AGCUCCAAUAGCGUAUAUUAAAGUUGUUGCAGUUAAAAAGCUCGUAGUUGGAUUUCUGGUGGCGAGACUCCAUGCGCCCGCGCGUCUUUGGAGCUUCUCCACCAUCCUUCUGUUAACCUAGGUUUGACUUUAUUGGCAGCUUAGGAGCCCAGAUAUUUUACCUUGAGAAAAUUAGAGUGUUUCAGGCAGGCUUGCGCCCGGAUACAUUAGCAUGGAAUAAUGGAAUAGGACUUUAACCUCUUCUGUUGGUCAUGGGGUCG
Molecule: ribosomal RNA, 260 nt
Filed under: uncultured eukaryote
Lineage: Eukaryota
Description: partial small subunit ribosomal RNA
Rfam family: Eukaryotic small subunit ribosomal RNA
Source: RNAcentral